UCACAAUGUACUCUAUACAAAUACUUACAGGUCUCGGGACGACAAAUCCUGAAAAGAGAUUCCAAAUUGCAUAAAAUGCAGCAGCCACAAUAGAAGCAACAUGGUGAUUUGGUGUCACUGCCACAGCCAUCAUACCAUAGAAGGUGAAGUAGAGCAAUGUGAAGUACAUGAAGAAUAGAUACCACAAGAAUUUCUCUGCGGUCCAGUCAAAUCCAAUCAUGGCAUAGACUAUAACUCCAUAUAUCACCGCUUGAGCAAAGACAUAAGGUAGCUCUACCAAAAUCUGCGACAAAAAGGGUGUUGUUAAUAUUAGAUUUUCAAGUUUUCAAACUCAAUUAAGUAAUAAUCAUUUCAGCAGCGUAAACAACAAUAAUAGUUACCUGUGAAAAUGCAUAUGGUAAGGCAGAAUACAUUCCAGCAGCCUUUUCUCGAUAAAAUACAGUCCUUUCAACUGCAACCACCGGCUGCACAGAAGAAGAAUUUUGUACUCCAAGGAAGAGAACAGCGGUAUACAUUGAACCAACAGCGUUCAACAGGUCUUGUCUACUUGAGCUGCAAGUCACCAAAAGGAAUUAGAAUUACAGUGUAGAUAAAUAGAGAGACGGCAAUAUAAUAUUUGGCGAAUAAUAUGAACUUAAUUUUUAACUAUAAAUAGUUUAACUUACUGUUUUCCACCGAGGUCCCAGAACAUUGUUCCAAACAUCAAGCCUAUGAAGGUAGUGAAGAAAAACCUCACAGCAGUGUAUGGUGGAUUACGCCAAUAUGACCAACGUUGUUUCCAUAAGCAGGCCUGGCAUUGAACCAAGAAAGACUGCGAGAAUUGAGUAGGGAAAUGAAGAUCCUUUGAACCAGGAGCAGGCACGCUAAGUUCUUGAAUAAGUUGCUUGUUUCUCCUGAAGAGUCGAACCAAACAAUUUAAGCAUGUUGCAAAUCAAGAAAACAAACAUGGCACCAAUAGCUACUAUAGUUUAUAGAUUCAUAUCCAUAUCCAUAUGCAUUAGUUUACCUAUAUAAAUCUGAAUUUUUGUACAAAUCGGUAAAGUCAACACCCAAAUUAAGUUCUUGUGCUGUAGUUGUAACUUCCAACAUCCAUGUUGCUGGGUUAUAUCCAUCUUUGAUUUUACUAACUCCGUCAAUGCUCUGGACAAUGAAAGUUAUUUGAAAACUUCAGUAACCAGUUACAAUCAAGAAAGAGAGUCAUUCACUUAAGGUAAUAUUAAACUAAAGUAGGAUCCUACCUCGAAAUACUUGAUCAAAUGAGUAGAAUGACGACCCAGUGGUCCAACAUAUAUUUCUUGUCCUCCACGCUUCAUAAGGAAUAGCUAGAAGUGCAUAUGGAUAAUGUCAGAUUCAAGUCUAAUGAAGAGGAAAAGAACUAUAAAAGGAAGCUUCAUUUGUCAUUGAUAUUUAUUAUGAUUAUUCACUACAUACCUCAUCAAAUGCUUCAAAUAUGUCAAUGCUAGGUUGAUGGAUGGUACACACAACUGUUCUUCCCGUGUCCACUGUGUUCCUUACAGUUCGCAUAACAAUUGCAGCCGCUCUAGCAUCUAAACCAGAAGUAGGCUCAUCCAUGAAAAUUAUAGAUGGAUUAGCCACAAGUUCGACUGCAAUAGUCAGUCUCUUGCGCUGUUCAGUUGAGAGACCACUCACACCAGGCAAACCAACUAGAGAGUUCCUCAACGAGUUCAGCUCCACUAGAUCCAUGACUUCAUCAAUAAACAUCUGCAACCAUUUGUAAUGUUCAUUAAGUAAGGUCAACAAAUGUAAACAAAGCCACGCCGAAUAAAGCACGUGCUAACUAACCUUUCUGGUGUUGGAAUCAACUCCUGAAGGUAAACGAAGCCACGCCGAAUAAAGCAAAGACUCAUAAACUGUAACAUGCGGUGAAUGGAUAUCAUUCUGCUCACAGUAGCCAGAAAUUCUAGCAAAUGUUUCUUGCUUUUUAGGGUACCCAGAAACCUUGAUGUCUCCAUCAAUAUAUCCACCUGUUUUCCUACCAGCCAGAACAUCCAUCAGAGUUGUUUUACCAGCUCCACUUACACCCAUCAAAGCUGUGAGAACACCGGGCCUGAAUGCACCACUAACACCCUUCAAAAGCACUAAUCUGUCUUCUCUAACACCUUGCUCCUUCAUUUCCUGCCAGUUGAAAUAAAAGUCAUGUGAGAAAAGUUAUUAUUGUUUGAGAAAAUAUGAAUUGUUAAAGAUAUCUAAAAGCCGAACGUAUCAGUUUGUGCGAAUCUUACCACUGGCAUAUCAACAGAGUAUACAAUAUCAUCAAAAGUGAUAGAAUGUGGUUCAAAUGGAAGAACCAUUCCCUUUUUCUUUCCAUGGCUGGACUCUGUAACAGAAUCAGCUCUUCCUGAACUUUCUGAAAGACAAUAAGAAAAAUGUUCAGCUACUAAACUAUAUGAUAAACUACAAUAUGUUUGCCUUCAUGAGUGAUAUCUGAUAUGCAUAUAAUCAGGAAAGCUCACCAAUACGUGGUAAUUCAACUUCUUGUACGGUAGAUGAAUCAUCUUCUGAAUCUUCAGUUAUUGUUGCACUAGGCUUAUCAAAUGGGCCUAGUACAGCGAGAGCCACACCAAACGCCACGUUGAAAAGAAAGACAAAUCCAACCAAUCCCCCAACGCCUAUCCAAUACCAAUAUGCAUGUGGGAAGAACCCUCGGGUAUCGAGAUAAUCUUUUCCCAAAUCAGCAGUAGCCUAUAAUUAAGUAUAUAAAAUAAAUUAGGCUUGCAAAUUUCUCAAACAAAAGUAGAUGAAUUAUGAAGUUGCAAGCAAGCUCAAGUAAUUAAUUACAUUGUGCCAACUGUGCCCAAGAAAUUCAUUGGCCAUCAAAGCAUUCUGCCCAUACAUCAAAGGUGAGAUCCAGUAACCCCAAAUCCACCAGCCUUUGAUAUCCUCUGUUACAAUAGCAAUAAAAUGUAAGAAACAUUAAUUAGCUAAGGUUUCAUUUCCUUACAAAAAAUUAAAUUUAAUAAGAUUUUUAUCAUUUUUUGUUAAAAUUAAAUGUGUUAGUCAAUUUAACUUACUUCUUGAGAGAAUGAAGCCACCCAAUGACAGAAAUGUGAGAAGUGCAAAGGACCCAAAUGUAUUGGCAACAAUCAUGUUUCUACCCAGGGAUGCGAUGGCUCGGAACAAUCCUGAAGCCAUCUGACUCAUGAAAAACAACACAACGAACUGCUUGAACAUCCUGCCAAAAAUUCAAGACCUCACAUCAUAAGUAACACACAAAUGCAAACUAGAUAGUAGAAGUGACGUUCAAUACUACAUUCUCCAAACAGAAUAAAAGAAACUUCUUUUACCUUCCAACAUUUGGAUCAAAUCCAAUAACAUAGUAGGUAAGAAACACCCAAAGAGAAACUUCCAUUAAUGAAACGGGAAUCUUGAGAAUCCACGAAGGAAUAGCAUAUGCCCAUGAGGGAUAAAAUAGAAGGUCUCGUUGCUUGUAGUAAACAGGAAGCUUAGCAAUGGUCAUAGAAAUCUCAGACAUUCCAUUAAACAUCAUCGUUACUAGUGUGAAAAACAAAGCACCGGCAUAAACACCCGCAUCAUCCUGAUCAUUGCGAUGCAUCUCAGUCCGAAAAAACAGUGUCAUUGCUAUCAAUGCCAUGAUGAAAAGCUGAAAAACAAAGCAUGAAGAGUAAACAGUUAUGUCACAGAAAAUCAUGGUCAUGAAUGUAUAAAUGAAAAAGAAUUUCUAUUUCACUUAUAUAAAAGAGCGGGAUAGAUUCCAAACCUGAGUUAGCUUGAAGAUGUAAACAAACGAAUUCCUUUUCAUGAGCAAAUACUCUCUUGAGAAGUUAGCCUUUAAAAGCUCCGUCUUGUUGAGACCAUACUCUUUGGUGGUCAAAGCAGCUGGAUGGCUCUUCGUCUUGUCAAAUGGUACGGAAAGCUCCUCAGCAAGUUUCCUACCAAUAUGGAAGGAUUGAAACGCCUCAGCGAAUUGAGUAACAGUUACAAAUCUGUAUGGUUGAUCUCUGCGCACCCAGUACUGUGCUUGAUCCUUUUUGGAAGUUACUUCUUGAAGAAAGUCAGCAGCACCUUUCCUUUCAGGACAUUUGAAACCCAUUGUUUCAAAAAAGUCAAGAACAUAUUCGCGGGGGCCAUGGUAUACAACUUGGCCAUCAGAAAUUAAGAUAAUGUCAUCAAAAAGAUCAUAAGUCUCAGGUGCUGGUUGGAGCAGUGAUAUAACUGCAGUGCCAUUCAUAAUGUGAACAUAUUGUCUCAGAGAGCUCACAAUCUGAAAAGUAGUGGAACUGUCCAGCCCAGUAGAAAUUUCAUCCAUGAACAAUGCAUUGGCUGGUCCAACCAACAUCUCUCCUGUAGUUACACGCUUCCUCUGUCCUCCAGAGAUACCACGUAACAUUUCAUCUCCCACCAUGGUAUCCGCGCAUAUAUCCAACCCCAAAAUCUACAAAAUUAUACAAUAUAAAACUUAAUACCGUUGGCUUGUAAAAAAUUCAACAUACAACAUGAAACAUAACUUUAUUAUGGCAUGCAAGACAUGAUAAAGCCCAUGCAAGGACAAUGUAAAUUGGGAGUAACCAAUAAAAAAUGCAAUGAGUUUAAUUUUGAUACAUUGUCAAUUAAAAAGUUUUAUACUGUCAACUAAUCACUUUAUUAGUACUUAUGAAUAAAGUCGGACGUUUUUAUUGAACUGGCGAUUAUGAGAGGCUAAGUAUAAUAAUUGAACUAUAUUUAAGUCUUACCUUGAGUACAUAAUCUGUUGAAAUGCUAUACUCCUGACCUUCAGUUGCAAUUGCCUGUUAUAUCAAAAUAAAAUUAGAGAUGCAAAGAUAGUAUAGUAUAUCAAUUACUAUACCAUUACCGAUAUUGAUUGAUAAUAGCUUAUUUAAUGCAUACCUUCAUGUAGACAUCAAUAUCUGGGUCAGGCUUAAUGUUUGCUGCCUUCUCUCUUCUAGAAAGCUCGGAUAGCAUGUCUGUUGGAUCCCAAAAAUAAUUAACAAGUUAAGCUUUAGCCACAUUUCAAAUUAGAUUUUAAAAAACAUUAACUAGGUAGUAAAAAUAGACUAACCAUAACGUGAUCCAACUCCUUGGCACCUUGCUGAGAAAGCCAAGGUUUCCCUCACAGUCAUUUCUCCAAUAUGAACAUCAUGUUGGCUUAUAUAGGCAGCAGUUCUUUGAGGUACAAACUCAUUCAGUCCAUGGCCAUUGUAAGUCACACUCCCAGUUAGCUGUACAAAUUAAGCAUUCGGCAUCCAAGUUAGAUAAUUUUAGAUAUAAAGUUUACCACCUUUGAUCUACAAGUGAGUUAUAUGAUUUUAUUUACCUGGAGACUUGGAUCAAGCUUUCCAGAUAAGGCUAAAAGAAGUGUGGUCUUUCCUGAACCAGGAGGACCUAAAAGUAGUGUCAUCCUACGAGGUUUAACGAUUCCGCUAACAUCUUUAAGAAUUGACACAUGCCUCUUUUUGGUUGGGAUGAUAUGAAGAAAAUUCAAUACCCCCUGAAAAAAAAAGAUAUAUAUAUAUAUAUAUAUAUAUUUUUAUUUGGGAGACUCAACUGCAAAAAUAAAAAAAAUAGAAAUAGAAAAAGCCUUCAGCAUCAAUUUUCAGGUUCUGAUAUCUAUCCCUACCUCUACAACAUUAGUAGCAGCAUUAAUGAAACUAGGCAAAGCUCUACUUCCCACAAACGCUUCAGCAUCAAUUUUCAGGUUCUGGUAUCGAACUUCAAUUGUUGGAAUAUCAAGUCCAACUCUAUAAUGAGAAGAAAAAACACAAAACAUGUUGAGUUAUGAGAGAAAUAAGAUCAAAAGAAAACAAUGAAGCAAAAAAAGUACAUUUUCUAUAAUAGUUACCUAUCAACUCUUUCCUUGACCUUCAACAGAAACCUUUCAUUAUCCUCUUCAGCAACCUUAACCAACCUCUCCAAAAGUUUCUGCUUUUCUUGAAAAGCAAGAUCACCAACAUCAACUUCAUGAGCACCUCCAUGAGAAGCUGUCAACAAACCUUUUCUUAGACGAUUAUAAGUAGGUAGCUUUUCAAGUGCAGCCCAUUUGAGAGCUUCUUCAUCAUCUUCUUCUCGAGAUGAUUUAGAGAAAACCUCAACUCCACUCUGUCUCCAAACAGUUGAACUUCUUGCUCUUAAACUAUUAGUAGCUCUGUAUAUAUCAGUCCCUUCCAUUUUUGCUGUUAUGAAACAGCUUUAACACAAGCUUGUGUGUUUCUGAUUUUUCUUUUUAAGACAAUGUUAUUAUGAAUUGAACCCAAACAAUAAACUAAAUGAAGUGUAGAAUAUAAUGAAAGAAUGAAAGAAUGAUGAAUGGAAAAAAACUUGUUGUAUUGAUGUUUCUUUGUGGAAAAGGAAAUGAAUAUGGAAUGAGAAAACAUGUUUGUAUAUAUACUACCUUUGAUUCCAAAGAAGUGGCGGCAAUGGAGAGUCAAACGUUGAAAUUUACGUGUUUUUUAGAAGGGACAGGAGAGAAAUAUAUGUCAAAUGGUCAAAUAAUGAAGGAGGACUAGACUAGGCAUCUUGGUUGGUCAUCAUGAGGAAACUUCGUCCUACAUGACAUGUUAAGGUGUCUAACUUGUUGUGGGCCCUAUUCAGAGUAAAGUGCACGGCCUUCUCGAACAAAGUAGGUUCUAAACAUUAAAUCAAACUAUUAUGUGAUCACAUUCUUCAAAAUCAAUUCAUAAAACAUCUGCAAUAUCUAUUUUACAUUAAUGAUUACAUGCAUUUUUUUUUGGUAGAAAAGUUUUAUACUUUCGCUACAUAAAAAUUAAUCUUUGCAAAUAAUUCAAAAAAUGAAAUCAGGGCAAUAUAUUUUUCAUAGAUAUUAUAGGACUAAAACAAGUCGGCUUAAGCCAUAUUAUACAACGAAAAAUAAUAGAGAAAUAAAUACUACUAAUAAGAAUCAAAUCAAAGAAAAAACAAGAGAAUACCAUUCCAAUAAAAAAAACGGUAGUUAGGAAUCAACUAUAAUUAUCUCAGCAGCGACGUCAUUUCUUUUCAUGUUUCAAAAAACAUAAUGUUUGAAAAGUUGGAAUUUCACAUGUUUACUGUUUUAUAGUCCUCACUUCCAAAAUAUUGACAACUAGAACAAUCAUAACCUUGACAUUUAACUCGUGUAUAUUUUUUUUGCUCCAAACAUAACUUUUUUUUUCCAACCAAGUUUAACGGUUUUUUCUUGUGUGUAAAGUUUCACGGUUUUAUUGACCGAAAAAAAAAAAAAUCAGUAAUUUGAUCAUUUAUUUUGAUGGUCUAUUUAUAGACAAAAUACACUAUUAGAAGUGUGCUUAUGGUAAAUCACCCUUUUAUUAAUAAUAGUUUAGUAAAAGUGUUAUAUCUAAUGAUUAUUUCAUUCCAUUUUUUAAUCCGUGUGCAAAUUGGCUAAAGCGACAUUCAUUUUAAAACGGAGGGAGUAAUAUUUUUACGGGAGAGAGAGAGAGAGAAAAAAAAAAAUUAGUUGAAUUGACGUAUGUAUCACAGUUGCGUUGACCAAUGUCAUGUAACAUUCAUGCAUUUAUGGUACACAAAUGGAAUCCGUCGGUUAUAGAGUAAAUAAGAAAAUUCAUUUGAAAUUCCAAAAAAGGAAAAAAAAAAUCUUUCUUGAAAUCGUUAGAUGUUAAGCAACUUGUCUUCCGUAAGUUUUUUCUAUAUGUACGUGAAAGUUUAUUGUCUACGUGAUAUGACAUGUCAUGUCAGUCACAUUGGCAAUUUGAUUAGUUUUUUUUUUUUUAAUUUGAUUUUUUUUUAAAGAUUACGAGCAAAUUCUCUCUUGAAAUGGUAUACUUAUAUGCAAAAUUUGUCCUUUUGGUGACUCGAUUCGACUUGAGUGUAGAACUAAAAAAAUACAACUCUCUCCACGUAAAAGACCUCUCGUUCUUUCGGUAAAUGAUAAAAAAAGAAACUCACUCUAAAACUUUUUUUUCUUAACAUAGUUAGCUUGAUUGAUAUUUCAUUACUUUGUUUUCCCUGUAAAUUGAUAAUCAUCUUUGAAACAUGUCAGAUAUUAAAUAUGAAUAUCUCUCUUAUUUUAUAUUUAAACUUUGGUUCACUAUGUUGUAAAAGUCUAACUUCUCCACUAAAUCCAACCCACUCAUUCAAUAUAGUUACUCUAAUGCUUAACAUCACUAUGAGAAAUCACAUUCAAAAGCAUUUGUAUAAUUUCAAUAUUUGCUGCUUAUACCGCCAAAAUAUUUGUUUACUUUAAAAAAAUAUGUUGAUAGAUUUUAAUUGGUGGCUGAUGUAUGAUACAAUUCUUAGAAUGAAUCAAUGUUUGGUAUGUAUCAUAAGUUUAAGAUAACAAAAUCCUCUAAAUUAACAAAUUACCCUAUGAAAUUGAAGUUUGUUAAUCUAUUUAGCCUCUCUUAGGAUCAAUUUCGAAGAAUCUAAAUGACAAAAUCCUUUACUCUUUAAUCUUAUUAGGUUUGCAACAACUAAACCUAGAAAAUUCCCUCCAAAUGAUUCACAUUAAUUGCUAAGUGCUAACCCUAAUUAUGUAUUUUCUUCCAACACUUCUUCAAUUUGAAAUUCAAAAAAUUUUGUUAGGAACCAUGAACUGCAUUAAAUUACAUUUAUUGCUAUAUCCCUUGAAAAAUACGGAGCUCUUCAACCGAGCGCACAUCUUCAAAAUAAUUAAUACACUGUAUAAGAUCUCUUCUAUUAUUAAAUUCUAUGAUAUAUGCAGAUAUGAUAUGUAUUUGGUUGGAAAAAUAUAUUAUUACUUUUAGUAAAUAUCAAAGUGUAAUUAUUCCUUUUAGAGCUGUAUGUGUAGUUUAGAAAUUCUAUUAAUUGAAGUGACUUUGUUUUUCAUGUUAGUAGAAAUUUAAAACAAUUAUUACAUGUCAAUUUUUUGUUUAACUAUAAAAGUAAUAAAAUAAAUAAAAUUGACCCGUGCAACAAUAUAAUAUUGUAUCUUUUUUAUUUAUAAUUUAAAAAAUAACGUGAAGAUAAUGCCCCAAUAAUAUAUUGUGAUAAAAUAAAAUAACAGUCUUUAAUUAAUUAGCUUUUCAGAACUAAGAUGUAAAAUUUGAUAAGAUUCAAGUGUCAUUGAAGGACAUAGUAAGAAAAAUUUGAUUGUAAUAUUGUAUCUCUAAUAAUCUAAUUUGCGUUUAUUGAUCGAUAUCUUACGGGUUAAAGAUUAUUCAUUUGUCUCUAUUAUAGCCGACAAGACCCGUGCGUCGCACGGGUCAAAAGUCUAGUAAAUAUAAAUGAAAGUACUUAUAAAAUUUCUUGAAAUAAUAUAGUACUUUAAUUGAAGAUGUCCUUAACAUGUUAACUAAAUGAAAGUACAUUAUAAACCAAUCAUAAAUUGUUAUAUCGUUAAGUUUGAUUUUAGUCAAAACUACCUUAGAAUCAUGCAUUAUAUGAUUUAUACUGUUUUUAAGGGAUUUACAAUUAUUAGUUGACUAUGAAAGAAAAUUUACACAAAGCACAAUUUAUCAAAAAAAAAAAAAAUUUGAGAAAGAAGCACAGAGUAUCAAAAUUAAACUCUAAAUAUUUGUACCAAAAAGAAAAAAACUCUAUAAAUAUAACAUUUUGUCUCCUUAAAAAAAACAUUGUCAAAAGAAGAAUGCUAGCAACACUAUUUUUUUAGCACUCUAUUUAAUACUUACUUUAUCAUUGGAUGAAAUCAAUGUGGACUCCACUAUUUAUAUGGAAUCCAUUUCCAAAAUGUAGGAUCACAUUGAUUUCAUAUAAUGAAUUGUGAAUAUGGGGUGGCUUUAUGCUAAGUUACAAUAACAUUUCUUUGUUAGAAUAACAUCUUAGAUAGAAAAUAAUCAAGAAGUGAAGAAACAAAGGGAUAUACAAACAAUAUUUGGUAACACCUUGUAAUUCCUUUUUUUUUUUUUAUUAUUUCCAGUUUAGGGUUUACAUACACCUUGUAUUUAAAUAGCACGGUUCACAUUAUAUUAUCCCCUUCCCACUUAAAACAAUUCGUUUCGCUUAACUAUGAGUCAUACAACUUUUGCAUAACAUAAUAAGACUAGUAAAGCAACAUGAAGAAAACCAAAAUGCGCCAGUCCAAAAGUUACACAGCUCUUCAUUACAAAACAAUUAUGUAUAUGCACCAAAUUUGAAGAGGCUGAAUUUAAUAUUCCAGCCUUGUCACACAGGACAUAUUUGACAGUUGAUGCAAAUAACUUCUUGUAUGCAAAUUCAGUAUUAAGUUGAACAAUAUCAAUUAUCAAAGGAACUUAGAAUUAAGAACUCAAAAAUGAGCAUAAAAGGCUGGUCUAAAAAAAUACACUAUCUUUCAUUGAUGAUCAAAAUGAUAAUACAAAAUUAUUGUCUUAUUCAAAUUCAAAUGCUUGUACAUUUAUAAAGGAAGCUUUAAAUUGUGUCAAACAAAGGGGAAAUAAAUUUCCUAAGAAACUAAGGCAUGGGAUAUAGAUACAGGUAUUAUACAAGCUAGGAAAAAUUGGGGAGGGAAAAUAAAAAAUAAAAAGAAUCUUUCUUGUUGGAGAAAGAGUGCAAACUAUCUCUUUUGGAAGUUAAAGGACUUGAUUGCAACAGCGAAAAUAAAGGCAAAGCCCACGGCAAUUCCACCGACCACAAGUGCACACCAUCCUAUGAAGUCGUGUUGGAUACCAAAAAAGUCGUCAAGGAAAGUCUUUACAUCUUUUCCGCCUUCGGUCGACAUAACAGUAGUUAUAUCUCCAAAUUGAGAUGCAACCAAUCCAUAGAUGGUCCAUGCAACUGGACAUGCCCAAUAGUACCAUCUCCACCAUAUUGGAAUGCUCUGUUAUCAAAAGGCAAGAAAAUGGUUAGGAUACAUAUAACAUACAUCCAUUGAAACAGUCUUUCACAAUGUACUAUAUACUAAUACUUACAGGUCUUGGGACGACAAAUCCUGAAAAGAGAUUCCAAAUUGCAUAAAAUGCAGCAGCCACAAUAGAAGCAACAUGGUGAUUUGGUGUCACUGCCACAGCCAUCAUACCAUAGAAGGUGAAGUAGAGCAAUGUGAAGUACAUGAAGAAUAGAUACCACAAGAAUUUCUCUGCAGUCCAGUCAAAUCCGAUCAUGGCAUAGACUAUAGCUCCAUAUGUCACGGCUUGGGCAAAGACAUAAGGCAACUCUACCAAAAUCUGU
RNAcentral lists this long non-coding RNA (11055 nucleotides) under Medicago truncatula (barrel medic). Its description in RNAcentral is "long non-coding RNA (MTRU_LNC000046)". The record is from RNAcentral. Lineage: Eukaryota; Viridiplantae; Streptophyta; Magnoliopsida; Fabales; Fabaceae.